UACCAGCUCUCCGAGUGGUAGGGAUGAUUAUUGGGCUUAAAGCGUCCGUAGCCGGCUUAGCAAGUCCCCUGUUAAAUUCAGCGACCUAAUCGUUGAGCCGCGGGAGACACUACUAGGCUAGGAGGCGGGAGAGGCCGACGGUAUUCUCGGGGUAGGGGUGAAAUCCUAUAAUCCCGGGAGGACCACCAGUGGCAAAGGCUGUCGGCUAGAACGCGCUCGACGGUGAGGGACGAAAGCUGGGGGAGCGAACCGGAUUAGAUACCCGGGUAGUCCCAGCUGUAAACGAUGCGGGCUAGGUGUUGGGGUGGCUACGAGCCACUUCAGUGCCGCAGGGAAGCCAUUAAGCCCGCCGCCUGGGGGAGUACGGCCGCAAGGCUGAAACUUAAAGGAAUUGGCGGGGGAGCACCACAAGGCGUGAAGCUUGCGGUUC
This 430-nucleotide ribosomal RNA is filed under the name uncultured archaeon. RNAcentral describes it as "bacterial SSU rRNA". It matches the Rfam family "Archaeal small subunit ribosomal RNA", at positions 474 to 903 of the family's 1478-position model. The record is from RNAcentral.